RNAcentral lists this ribosomal RNA (253 nucleotides) under uncultured bacterium. RNAcentral's name for it is "partial 16S ribosomal RNA". It matches the Rfam family "Bacterial small subunit ribosomal RNA", at positions 524 to 776 of the family's 1533-position model. The record is from RNAcentral.
GACGUACCACCCAAACGUUAUUCGGAAUCACUGGGCUUACAGAGUCCGUAGGCGGCUCGGAAAGUUGGGCGUGAAAUACCUCAGCUCAACUGAGGAAUUGCGCUCAAAACUACCGAGCUUGAGAGAGACAGAGGUGAGCGGAACUGAUGGUGGAGCGGUGAAAUGCGUUGAUAUCAUCAGGAACACCGGUGGCGAAGGCGGCUCACUGGGUCUUUUCUGACGCUGAGGGACGAAAGCUAGGGUAGCGAACGGG